UCUUAAAAGAUGAUUCAUUGUUUUAAUUAUAUUGGUUGUUCAUGUCAUACACGGUUUUGUGUCUUUAUGUUUUCAUUGAAUUUAACAGGGCUAAAUACGCUUGUCAUUAUAAAACACGGAGGGUCUCAAAGUGACGGGGCAUUCAAACGCCAAAAGAAACAAACACAUCGAUUGUUGCUGCUACAGAAGAUGAAAAUAAAUCUGAAUUUGGUGUGUUCUGUUGUUAAAGGAAAGUAGGAAUGUUGCUUCGCAGACAUGCACAUAGAAGAUACCGCGAGACUACUCGUGAACCAUCAAGUACAGGAACGAUUUCAUGAUGAUUCACAACUUGAUUUGAAGCAAUUUCAUUAGUAGCAGGACAACAUCUUGGCUAGUUAUUGGACAAGAUUUUUGGGUUUGAAGAGAUGGGACACAAAUGACCUUAAUUGUAUUACUGCACUCUUGUUUGGAAGCUUGUUGCAGUUUUUGGAACUUUAUCAGGCUUUGACAGACCAAAGUACAGUAGAUAUGAAUAUUUCAAAUCUAGUGUGAGGAUUGACCUACAAUCUGGUUCAGCUCUUGGGAAUUAUUGUUGUGAUGUCUCAAGCUGCAUGGCAGGUGUUCAUAGUAUUGAUUCCUGUCAUGGCUGCUUGCAUAUGCUACCAGUGAUACUACUCAGCAUCAACACGGGAAUUGACGCGAUUAACUGGUACAUGUCAAGCUCCAGUUAUACAACAUUUUUCCGAAACAAUUUCUGGAUCAACAACCAUAAGCUGUUUUGAGCAAGAAAACAAAUAUGCAAUUGAUAGACAAAUACUCACAACCUAAAUUAUACAGCACCAGUGUGAUGAAGUGGUUGAGUUUCAUAUUGGAUCUUUUAUCCUCUACCAUAUUUGCUUUCAGCUUGGUUUUCUUGGUAUCUCUUCCAAGUUCAAUAGUCGGUCCUCGCAUUGUGGGAUUGGCUGUGACAUAUGGGAUUAAUCUAAAUGCUGUACAAUCUACUUUCGUUUCGAUUUUUUGCAAUUUAGAGAA
Vicia villosa (hairy vetch) is the source of this 1011-nucleotide long non-coding RNA. RefSeq lists it as uncharacterized. The transcript has 6 exons. The record is from RefSeq and is a predicted model, not a curated record. Lineage: Eukaryota; Viridiplantae; Streptophyta; Magnoliopsida; Fabales; Fabaceae.